UUUUUUUUAAAUAACUGUAAAUAUAAUAAUAAAUAACGUUUUUUUAAAUAAGCGUUAGUUAUAAUUAUUUAUUUUUAUUUUUUUAAUUUAUAAUUUAAAAUAGAUCAAAUAGAUAGCAUUUUAAAGAAUAAGCACUGUCUAUUUUAAAAUUUUUUAAAACAGAUUUUCCUUCCCAGUUUCGCUAUUCCACGUUGUCUUGCUCAUUCCUUCGUUCAUUGUGCCCUUUUCAUCACCUAUCACCUGUGCUUGAGGCAAGCUGCUUCGUUUGUCUACUGGGUUCCGGAAUCAAGUUCUCUCCUUCUCUUCUCUGUUUCGUUUCUCCUUUGCCCUUUUUCAUGAAAAUGCGUUUUUCAGAUUGCGUCAUACCUUCAAAACGCGUUUUAAUCGUGCUCACUAACCGUUUUUGGACAUCGUGCUCAUGUGAGAGAUCUUCGUUCAGCCAGUAAGUUCUCUCGUGUUCUUCUCCCAAACUCUCUGUCCGAUAUGUCUCCAACUAUUGCAAGUUGUAAGAUGGGGAAGGUUGUUGAUGCCGGUACUCAUUUGUCAAAACCUUGUAUGUUGUAUUCUCAUUUUUGCAUUGUUUUCUUUACAGUUUCUAAUAUUUGAUUUUGUAUUCAGAUUCCCGUUCAAUGCAGUCUGUAGAGAAAGACUAUGUACUUGUCUAUUCCCAUUUUGCAUCAUUGGCGUCCCCUCUGAUUCGUGCUGGCAGCUUAGAAGCCAUUGCUGGACCUUCCAAACCCUAACAGAGUCACACGUGAUGCUACACAUCUUCCUUGCUUAUUUUGUUUAAUUUUAUAAUCUAUCUUUUUACAUUGUUUUUUUUUCUGCUUUGAUUCAUUCCUAGGUGUUUCCUUGAUAUUCAUUAUAUUCUCUAAUCAUGACUCAUUCGAGUUCUGAUUUUCUCUUCUAAAUUCAAUCGUUGCGAUAAUGUUUUAGGGGAAUGUUGGCAUUUUGGGAUGAGUAAUUAACCUUGGCAUUCAAUUUCACAUGUGAGUUUAUUGUCUUUUAGCUAUUAUUUUAUUAUAGUUUCGGGGAAUUCUAUAAUGCUUUAUCUUUCGUUACUAUUUAUUGUGUCAACACGAUGCUUGUCUUGACAUAUGAGUGUGCAUUGCUUGUUUGAUUGAACGAUUAGGUAACCCUGACAGGACAAGCCUGCAUCGUCUACACCAACUACGUCAUCCUCAAGUUUCAGUGCUAGUAGUGGGGUAUAGUCUGCGGCAGCUAGAUUAUUGGGAGGAAGCAACGGAAGCCGAGCACUUAGUUUUUUUGGAGGCAACGGUAGUAGCAAGAAUAAUGGAGGGAACAGUAGGAUUGGUUCCAUUGGAGCCUCCAGUACAAGUAGUUCAAUGGCUAAUCCAAAUUUUGAUGGGAAAGGCACUUACCUGAUAUUCAAUGUCGGUGAGGCAAUUUUCAUCAGCAAUUUGAAUUCUCAAAACAAGGUAUAUUAUUAUUCGGACUUUGGUUGUUUCUAAGAAUUUUGGAUUCACUUCAUGAGUUUUUUUUAGUUUGAAUGUGCAUAAUUUUUUAGUUUCAAGGUCUUGGUGAAUGGUGAAUGGUGAUCCUGAACAUGGUGAUUUUUUUGUUAUGUGAAUGAAGGUUUGAUACAACCUUGAUCCCAAGGCUCAGAUACCAAGCCAUUUAAUGUGGCUGGAAGCAUAGUUGUUAAACUAUAGUGUCAACUCAUAAACUUGUUAACUAGCGCACUCCUGUAAAUUGGGUCUGAGUUGAUUGUAAAGUAAUUUCUUGGUGAACUUAGAGGUGAUAUCGCGUAAAAUUACAAGUUCAUAUACAAGUUUGUAGGUUGACCUCCACAUCCAUUUUAUAAUGGUGCUGCACCAUGUAAUUUCUCCAAGUAGUAUUGCAUGUUAUGUUUCCCUUGGCUCAUUUCGCACCCCACUUCUUGAUUAUCCCUUACUAUUUGUGAUUAUUGUUACUGCUGCUUAGUUGUUCUUCUGCUACUAGAUAUUUUUCUGCCAUUUUUGGUAGUUGCAUCAUUACUGAUGCUGCUAGUUGUUUCAUUGUUGCUUGAUCUGUGAGAAAAGUGCAUCACAGAAAAUGACAACUGUUGGACGAGAUGGUAUCCAAUUUUAUAUGCAAAGUAGUGAGCUCUGUGACUCCUAUUAGGCAUGUGUGCACUUUAUCUCAUGAUUGUUCUGUUUCCUAUCACCUAUCAAUUUGUUUGCUCAUUGAAUUUAAAUUUUUGUUUAAUGUUGUUACUUCUUGUUUUUCUUCUUCAGUUUCAUUUAAGUACCCUUUUUACAUGAGUAGACUUUUGUUACUGUAGUGAUCAAAACGAAUCUCCUUCUUUCGAGUAUCCAAAUAUAUGAAAACCAAAAUGUCUAUCAACGUGAGAGAUUAACUAAUGCUUUAACUAUUUAAUAGACAUGCAUAGGAAUGUAGUGUUGACUCUGUCAACCUGACUAUCUGAAAUGCAAUAUUUUGCAUUGGUAACAUAAUCUCCCAAUUUUACACACUUCUUGUUAAGAGCUUAUAAUGUACAUGUAUUUGCUUAUUGGAUUUAUGUUAGAAGUCUAAAAUAACAUUAUAUAUAAGCUACGAGGUUUAGUCUAGUUUUACUUGUGACAUUACUAUUUUUUAGAGUGUCUUAACAACAUAUUCCACUUUCAUUAGUUAUAAUUUUUAUUUUUUUUUAUAUCAAUGGUUUGUAUCAAUCUAGUUUAUGUCAACAAUAUCGGAGUUUAUUUUGGCAGACUUUCUUGCUUGUGCUACUGUUAAUAUUUUCAUUCAGCAGAAAACCACCAUUCUGCCAUGUGUAGAGUUAGAGUUAUUUGUUUAUGUGAUGUCCAAUAAUGUUUAUUGGUUGAUAAACUGACUAUAUUAUUUGGGGUAUAAUGUAUGUACUUAUUUUUUUAUUUCUUUUCUCCCCUAUAAAAUUUUUGUAUUACUGGCCAAUUUUUAUUCCUCAGGCAUGCCUCAAUGCAACCAGAUCCUCAUUGAAAGAAAAAUGGGUUAAGAGGGAGGCUGUUGUUGUGAUCCUGAGGGAGGCACUCAUGAAAGGCAAAUGGCUAUAGUAAUUUAUAAGGUAAUUUGAGGUUAUACUGCACAGAACAUUCUUUAGAAAAAAUAUAUUAAAUAAGCAUAAUGAACAAGUAAAAGGCGUUGUUGCAUUAUUGUUUAUCUCGUGAGUCCAUAAGUAUAAUAUUUUAUGAUACUUCAAUAAGCAUGAGUUAUUCAUGCGCUGUGUUACGUCACAUUAUAUUAUUACAUCUUAUAUAUAAUGAUUUUGAUCAACAGAAAUAAUUUUAUUUAUUAGAACUAAAGUUUAAGGCAGUGGAUGUUUAGCAACUUCAUAUUAUGUUAAUGUGUGUUGUGCUAAUUUUUAUUAUUGAAACAAUAAAAAUUGUUUAUGCCUAAAUUGAAGUAGAAGCUUAGACGAAAAACACUUAUUUUUAACUGAUCAUUCUUUUUAGUGUUUAGAUUCUCUAUAUUUUAUCUUUCCUAUUACGAGAAUCCAUAUUUUUUUAAUGUAAUAACAAUCGAGUUAUUAAUGUAUAACAUUUUUUACUCAACUUUCCAGCAACUACCAAGAUCAAACAUAAUGAUUUAAUGAUUCCUCGCCCUCGUAUGAAUAUGUUGAUUGCACAUGCCCAUAACCAUUACAUGUGACAAUUAUUUUAUCUUGUCUUAACCAUUACAUGUGACAAUUAUUUUAUCUUGUCUUAAGGGAACUAUCACAUACUCUGAAAGAGAGACAAUUCCAACAUGUCUAUAUUAUCUUCAUUGUUAUAAUUAAUUUGUAGUAAAAUAUUAAUUGACUAAUUUUAUAUUUUUUUUUGUUGUAGUAUUUUUCUAAGUGAAGAUCUCAACAAUAUCGUGGAAAUCAAAUCAUUGAAGUUAGAAAAGGUUGGUGUUUAUAUGUCAUUAGUACAUGCUUAUAAGUUAUGUUACAGUGAUGUACAUGCUUAAAGGUACAUAUAGGUUAUAUAUAUAUAUAUAUAUAUAUAUAUAUAUAUAUAUAUAUAUAUAUUAUGAUUGUAUAUAUUGUCUUGUAAAACAAUGUAUGUCAUUACACAUAUUAGACGACUUAACAAUUAUAUUUUGAAAUAUUAUUGUACAAAUAAUUUUUAUUCAUACAAUUAAGUAAUGAACAUUUUUUUUGAGACUUUUGUCUUUGUCAUAUUUUUCUUGAUAUUUUGUAUCUUUUUAUAUAUAAUAGAACCAAUAGAUAACACAGGUUUUUACAUAAUAGAACUAAUAUUUAUAUUUUCUUUUAAAAAAAUAUUUUAUAUUUUACAAAAUCUUUUGUUAAAAAAUUAUUAUUAUUUUUUUUAAAAUUUAGACCAAUAGAUAGCGUUUUUUUAAAUAAGCACUAUCUAUUGGUGUUUGACAAUAGAUAACGCUUCUUUAUAAGCGCUUAAAAAAAACUAUCUAUGAUAAAAAAAGUGUUAUCUAUGCACUUUUUUGUAGUAGUAGAUUUGUAAUACCGUGAAGAUUCAUGAUGUGCCAGAUGAGGUUAUCAGACUUAGCUUGUUUCCUUUCUCUUUGGAUGGUAAUGCCAAGAUGUGGCUAAAUUCAUUUCCUGAAAAUAACUUCAUUGUGUGGGAAGAUGUGGUGGCCAAGUUUCUUAAUAAGUACUUUCCUCACUCCAAGAUAAAAAAAAGGAAGUAGAAAAUCUCUUCUUUCUAACAGGGUAUGGAUGAAACUUUAGGCCAAGCAUGAGAUAGAUUCAAAGGCCUACUGCGAAAAACUCACUCAUGGAUUUGAUGAACCUACGGUGAUCAUUAGUUUCUUGGAGGACCCAAAUCUCAUACUAAAUUGAUGUUGGAUGCCUCAGUUAGAGAACAUGACUGCUAAUGACAAUGAGAUGCAAAAUGAAAGAGCUCAGUUCCAAUAAAAAGGAGUUCUUCAACUACAAUCUCAAGAUGCUGUAUUAGUUAAAAAUAAGAUAAUGACUCAACAACUUGAGGCCUUAAUGAAGAAACUCUCUCAAUUGCCUAAAGAGCUCCAAAAUGUGUCACAUGCCCAACAUAAAGAGUGUGAGUUGUGUGGUGGAGAACAUAUAAAUCGUUAGUGUGCCAUGCAAGCCAACUCCUAAGAAGAAGUGAACUAUAUGGGUAAUCAGGGCCGCCAAGGUAACUACAACCAAGGGUGGAGACCUCAUCCAAGCAUGGGCCAAGGGCAAGCUGGGCCAUCAAACAGACCACCACAACAACAAUAUCAACCACAUCCCUCUUUAUCUAACAAGACCUCGAAGUUGGAGGAAACACUCCAACAGUUCAUGCAAGUGUCCAUCUCCAAUCACAAAAGCAUUGAAGCUUCCUCUAGGAAUUUGGAGACACAGGUUGGGCAAUUGGGUAAGAAGUUAGAGGAGAAAUCUGACAAGAAUUUUGUGGCCAACACCGAAGUUAACCCUAAGGAGGAAUGUAAUGCCAUUAUGAUUAGAAGUGGCAAGAUGGUUGUGGAGAGAGGUGGAGAGAAAAGAUAAGAGAUUUGAUGAGGAGGAACAAACUCAUGGAGAAAAGGUUGAGGUUGAGAAGAUGAGAGGGAAAGAAGAGAGAAAAGGGAGUGAAAAUGAUGAGGGAGAAGACAGGAAAAAAAAAACAAAAAGGGAAGAGAAAGAUUGAAGCUCAUGAGAAGCCCCUUCUUUACCCUAAAGUCCACUCAAGGAAGGAGAAAGAGAAGCAAUUUGGAUGCUUCAUGGAUAUUUCGUACAAAAGAGGAAGAUGAAAAAAACACCACACAAAAUGUCUCCUUGAUUCACAAAUAGGACAUCCUGCCUCAGUUUUUUUGUUAUAAGGACUUUUUUGACGUUAUCUUUAGCAUUGAUAUGUUAUGCAUAUCAGUAUUAUAACUUAGGUUGGUGUGUAAGUAAAUUUUUACUUUUAUGAAGUUUGAAAAUAUUUAAUAAGUUAUUUUAACAUUAUUCAUUUUCAAUGUUUAAGAUAUUUACAUCAUAUAUUCUUUGAGAGGAAGAAUGAUCAUAUAUAUGGAUUUAUUGAUCCUGUUGUCAUCCAAGGAGUUGGGAAUAAAGGUGAAGAGAUGUAAAAGUACCCAUUAAAGGCCUUUGAAAAGGGAAAAUAAUAAGUCUACAUAACACCUUAUUUGCAAUUGUAAGUAGGAAUUUUUAUAAAUUAAAUUAUAUUUAUGUAAAGCUUAAUUGUAUCUAAUAUUGUUUGAAUUUGCAGGAGUCAAUGACAGUUGCUAAUUCUUCCUCGAGAGUCUCUUAUUGUUCUUUUAUGUUCAUUAUAUAAGAAAUCUAAUAAUUUGACAAUUAAAUGUAUACUAAUGGCGUAAUUUUUUAAUAAUUUAUUUGUCGUGUUAUAUAAUUUAAUUUUAUUAAGUUCCAUAUUAGACACAAAAUUAAAUUUUAUAGAGUGGUUAGGUCUUAUUUGAGGUAGUAGGGAACACAUAUCACUUUUAGAAAGAAGUUAUAGUUCAUUAAGCCAAUAAUAAUUAGUUAAUAUUUUAAACUAUUGAAAUAUAAUUAUAAAGUUUAUGAUAUUUUAUGAAUUUAAUUUGAUGUGCUUGCGUUAUCGUGAGUUCUAAGUGUGAAUAUUAUGUUAUGAGACAUAUGUAGAAAAUCAUAUUCACAAACUAUGUUGACUCAUGAGAUUUAGUAACAUGUACAAUUUAUAACUAGCAUUUGAAGUAUUUAUCAUUAUAAGUUGACUCAAAGUGUUUAAGUGAAUAUAUUUUCAGGGACAUGUUUCCAUUGAAGUAAUAGGUCCUAAAAGAAGUUCGGAAGUGAGUUCCUUUUCAAAUAAAACUGAUUUUCAUUUGUAUUGAUUGAAAAUAGCAUAUAUUAUUAAACAACGAUAAAAUUAUAGAAAUACAAAUACUAAAUAUUUUUAAGGCCCAAAGAAAAAACUUGCCAAACCUUUAACAGUAGACUCCAACAAUAUAUUUGAUUUUUACAUUCAACAAUGAUAAUUUCAAAUAAGAGAUUGUGUGGUGAUGAAAUCUUUGACCUGUGAGACCAAUCGAGAUGACUCUGGCAAUUCAGGAAAAAUAUAAAAUGCAUGAAACAUGGUUGGAUACUCAAUCAAUUGAACCUUUUUCCCUGAUUUUUUCAACCACUCACAGUACCUUCUUUGCCAAUCUUGUAACGGGUCAAAUCCACCCACAAUCACAAGGGUAUUCGGGUAAUCCAGACCCGACAAAUCCUCCGAAUUCGCUCCGCUCACAUUUACCGCCCAGUGGUCGCGAUCUGAUCCCUCCGGCAAAAACGCCUU
RNAcentral lists this long non-coding RNA (7193 nucleotides) under Vigna radiata. Its description in RNAcentral is "long non-coding RNA (VRAD_LNC000275)". The record is from RNAcentral. Lineage: Eukaryota; Viridiplantae; Streptophyta; Magnoliopsida; Fabales; Fabaceae.